CGGAGUUCAGUCUUCCCAGGCCCACCACUUUCAUCGAGUGAGCAUUCGUCUUCUGGUUACGGGGCCAUAGCUCAGCUGGGAGAGCGCGUGCUUUGCAAGCAUGAGGUCGUCGGUUCGAUCCCGUCUGGCUCCACCAGAUGGUUUGAUCACCGAGAUCUUGACCGUCGUCCGCGAAACAUCACUUCGCAUCCUGCUAGUCUGGAUAGACAGCAGUUUGCGUGUUUUCUGACAUCGUAAAGAGGAGAUCGAUCCGAGUUGGGUCGUGCAGCAUAUCGUUGCGCGAGCCUUCAUUAUCUCCGGAUCAUUUCGGCGCUCGCUUCCAGCCGUGAGGUUGGAUGCGGGUUGUAAAUGAUCCUUUUAGCGAAGCUUGACCGCCUCGCUAUCGGAACGAUCUUACGAAGCAAGCUGGUCUUUCUAGUCAAUGUCCGGCUGCGGAUAGCGUUCAUCGAGGGCGCGUGCCGCAAGGCAAUUCUGCAGACAACAUUCUGCCGAGUGUGUGGACAUUGAUAAUGAGAGCAAUCAAGUGCCUUAAGGGUGUUCGGUGGAUGCCUUGGCGCUGAGAGGCGAUGAAGGACGUGCUACGCUGCGAUAAGCCGUGGGGAGCUGCGAAGAAGCUUUGAUCCGCGGAUUUCCGUG
This 636-nucleotide unclassified non-coding RNA is filed under the name Bradyrhizobium sp. Its description in RNAcentral is "partial 16S-23S ribosomal RNA intergenic spacer". The stretch from base 518 to 636 matches the Rfam family "Bacterial large subunit ribosomal RNA", at positions 1 to 118 of the family's 2925-position model. Lineage: Bacteria; Pseudomonadati; Pseudomonadota; Alphaproteobacteria; Hyphomicrobiales; Nitrobacteraceae. The record is from RNAcentral.